Molecule: ribosomal RNA, 484 nt
Filed under: uncultured bacterium
Lineage: Bacteria
Description: partial 16S ribosomal RNA
Rfam family: Bacterial small subunit ribosomal RNA
Source: RNAcentral
AUUGAACGCUGGCGGCAGGCCUAACACAUGCAAGUCGAGCGGAUGAAGGGGGCUUGCUCCUGGAUUCAGCGGCGGACGGGUGAGUAAUGCCUAGGAAUCUGCCUGGUAGUGGGGGAUAACGUCCGUAAACGGGCGCUAAUACCGCAUACGUCCUGAGGGAGAAAGUGGGGGAUCUUCGGACCUCACGCUAUCAGAUGAGCCUAGGUCGGAUUAGCUAGUUGGUGGGGUAAAGGCCUACCAAGGCGACGAUCCGUAACUGGUCUGAGAGGAUGAUCAGUCACACUGGAACUGAGACACGGUCCAGACUCCUACGGGAGGCAGCAGUGGGGAAUAUUGGACAAUGGGCGAAAGCCUGAUCCAGCCAUGCCGCGUGUGUGAAGAAGGUCUUCGGAUUGUAAAGCACUUUAAGUUGGGAGGAAGGGCAGUAAGUUAAUACCUUGCUGUUUUGACGUUACCAACAGAAUAAGCACCGGCUAACUUCGUG